UACGGGGGGGGUAAGCGUUAUUCGGAAUUACUGGGCGUAAAGGGCGCGUAGGCGGCACGGCAAGUCGGGAGUGAAAUCCCCCGGCUCAACUGGGGAACUGCACAGGAAACUAGCGGGCUUGAGUUCGGGAGAGGGAAGCGGAAUUCCGGGUGUAGCGGUGGAAUGCGUAGAGAUCCGGAAGAACACCGGUGGCGAAGGCAAUCCCCUGGGCCCGCACUGACGCUCAUGCACGAAAGCGUGGGGAGCAAACAGG
Molecule: ribosomal RNA, 253 nt
Filed under: uncultured bacterium
Lineage: Bacteria
Description: partial 16S ribosomal RNA
Rfam family: Bacterial small subunit ribosomal RNA
Source: RNAcentral